CAGUCGCCGCGGUAACACGAGUGGUGCAAGCGUUAUUCGGAAUUAUUGGGCGUAAAGGGUGUGCAGACGGUUUGUUAAGUCACUUGUUAAAUUCUCCGGCUUAACCGGAGGCCAGCAUGUGAAACUAGCAGACUAGAGGGUGAGAGAGAGAAGUGGAAUUCUCGGAGUAGCGGUAAAAUGCGUAGAUCUCGAGAGGAACACCAAUGGCGAAGGCAGCUUCUUGGCUCACUCCUGACGUUCAUACACGAAAGCGUGGGGAGCAAACAGGAUUAGAUACCCGAGUAGUCCCUGUCUCUUAUAC
Molecule: ribosomal RNA, 301 nt
Filed under: uncultured bacterium
Lineage: Bacteria
Description: partial 16S ribosomal RNA
Rfam family: Bacterial small subunit ribosomal RNA
Source: RNAcentral